UUAAUAGAAACAGGUUGUUUAUUUUACUUUUUCUUUUUGUCUUGAAUUAUUUUAGAUGGCUACAUGUAGAGUGCCUGGAUUCAUCUGCACUGAAACUCCUUGAGAAUUUUGAUAGGUUGAGCCAAAACAGAAUAAUGAAAUGAACCCUUCUAGGCAGGAAGGCAGAAACAGACAUAAAAGAUGAUUUCUUUGUGUUAUCUGGCCUUUAUGGAAAGAACCAUGAUGAGCUUCCAGAAAAUGCAUUAUUGAUGUGAUGUAAUAAGGAGAUUAAAGCAGCUGCAUCAUCUCAUUAACCUUCACCCCUAGAGAAGAUGGCAAGGCCACACUAUUUCAAAUUCACAUAUUUGCAUUAAGUACCACUGGACUGGGUAAGAAGCAUCUUUACUUCAGCAAGAAGAAUCAUAGAGAAAACUACCCGGAG
RNAcentral lists this long non-coding RNA (421 nucleotides) under Capra hircus (goat). Its description in RNAcentral is "lncRNA (ENSCHIG00000007404.1)". Lineage: Eukaryota; Metazoa; Chordata; Mammalia; Artiodactyla; Bovidae. The record is from RNAcentral.